GUUUGGGGCUGGGGGCGGGGACGCUGCGCGCACCGAGCAGGGCGCGGGCGGCGGGGCGGGGCGGGGCGACCCGGGAAUCUCUGUACCCGCCGCGCGAGCGGGGAGCCCAGGCCGGGGAAAAGGCAGGAAGCGCCGACUUCAGACGCCUCCCGCAGACGAGCAACGCAGUGUGGCCACGGGCCCCCGCUCCCAGGUCGGCGCCGACCACGGAGGGCGAGCAGACGGGGCGCAGCGGCUGCUUCUAGGCUCCAGGAAGGGGAGCGGAGCCGCCCGGACGGCCCGUCACCUGCUCCGACCGCCGCUGCAGAGGGCUCUCCCCACCAAGGGACUGGGGCCGCGGCCCGGAACGGGACCUGCGAGUUUCGGCCGCCGCCUGCCAAGAUUUGGAGCCACGAACAUGCUCCCCAGAAUCAAGCGAAGAAUUUGUUAAACCGGGUUUCCCACCUGCGCCCCCAUCCCAGCGAAGAACGCUCGAUUCUAGGGACGCCAGCCGCCCGAGCACAGCCACCCCACGUUCCCAGGCGGGCACAUUGUUAAGAUCAGCGGGCCUUCGUACAAACAUCUUGACUGUGGCUGGUAAUGAAGAUGAGUCUCCUGUCUGUGGGGCGCCUGGUUAGCCACCACUAUGCCCAGUCCACCCCGUCCACCCUGCUACAAGCGGAGGCCAAGAACCGGGUAGCGUGCGCCGCGAGAGGGGGUUGUAUGGGCUGGAGCCACCUGGCUGGCCCUUUCAGGAUUUGUGGCCUUGAGCUGGGCCCUGGUGCUGGAGGUCGGGGAAGUGGAAGGAAGACGGUCUGGCCAGAGAAUGGAAGAACCAUAGGUUCCCUGGGAGCUGUACUUAGGGGACAGUAUGCCCCCGAGAGGCAGUAACCAGUAGUAGUUUUCAGAUGCCUCGAGCUCAGGGACGAACUCUCUUCUCCUGACCCCUCCGGGCUAGCUGCUCAGGGUAGACCCACUCUCUUCCGGAAGGUGGGGGAUGACAGUGAGGGAAUCACUUGCCGUUUGCUUGGCCCAAGGCUCAGACUCUCAGGGUUGACUUUUAAGUUAGUUUCAUAUGAGCUGAGGGGCCUACUUUCAAAAAGGAAGCACCAGACCAUUGGCCUCAACAUUUGAGCAGGAAACAUCAGAGUAGAAAGGGAUUUUGAAAACAGUGUAAAGUUACCUUGAGAAACCAUUCAUUUCAGUACAUUUGUCAGAGGAUACUUUGCUGGUCUUUCAACCCUUAAUGAUCCACGGUGAGAGUUUCAUGGAGUAUGCAAGACAUUGCUCUCCAAUCUGAGUGAAAUUCCAGCUGUGGCCCUGGAAGCCAUGUGGAGAUGUGGGUGCAUUCCUUCAGCUACAGGCACAGAAGCCAGUUCACUUGGCCACUGAAGGUCCUGUUUCCGUGUGAUGUGGAGCCUGAUGAAUAUGUGGCCUCCCCUCUAGGAAUACGCCUGGGCUGCCUUUGCACACACUUACUUCAGCUGGCCUUGAACUCAAAGAUAAUCGCUUCUGUAACAAGCGAAUCACAGCCUCUCCUCCCUGUGCAAACAAGAGAACUAGCCAAAGGAAAAUAAUGAUAGGGGAAAAUCUGUCAUUCUUCAAAACUGAAAAAGGAUUCCACCCACAUACCAGACAUUUCAAGGAAUUUCUUUACGACUUGAUGCAGAUGAGACCAGUUUGAGCGAAAGGUUUGACAGCCUUCAAUUCACCUCACAGAAUAGAAAGGCCUCUCUCAGGAGGGACCCCCACCAGAACCCAGCAACACUCCCAAGAUGAUUGUCUAAGGAUGAAAUAUCUGGAGUGUGGUAUCCAUCUUGUGACCAUGAGGAGAAGGCCAAGAGAAUCUGAGAGAUGCCCGCAUAGAACUUUAAGAGCUGCUGAACCAACCCUGGAUAUGCCUCCCUUUACCCUCCUUUCCAUAUGGUGUAAUUAAAUGUCCUUAAUGUCUGAGCCACUUUUAGGUAGUCUGAUAUGUGAAGCUGAAGGUAUGGUUGGAACCUUAAUAAAACUAUUGAAGAUAAUUCUUGAAAGAAAACACAUAUAAAUGGAUUAGGAAUUGGGAUUAAAUUAUCAUAAUAAUCUAAAUCUAAAGACCAGAUUAUUGUUGUAAAAACUGAGAGGACAGGAUGGCAUAGGAGAAGGGAAAGCAAAAAUGUGCUUAUUUUGUCAUCU
This 2154-nucleotide long non-coding RNA is filed under the name Equus caballus (horse). Its description in RNAcentral is "lncRNA (ENSECAG00000046105.1)". Lineage: Eukaryota; Metazoa; Chordata; Mammalia; Perissodactyla; Equidae. The record is from RNAcentral.